CAGUAGCCACGGUAAUACGAAGGGUGCAAGCGUUACUCGGAAUUACUGGGCGUAAAGCGUGCGUAGGUGGUGGUUUAAGUCCGUUGUGAAAGCCCUGGGCUCAACCUGGGAAUUGCAGUGGAUACUGGGUCACUAGAGUGUGGUAGAGGAUAGUGGAAUUUCCGGUGUAGCAGUGAAAUGCGUAGAGAUCGGAAGGAACAUCUGUGGCGAAGGCGACUAUCUGGGCCAACACUGACACUGAGGCACGAAAGCGUGGGGAGCAAACAGGAUUAGAUACCCGGGUAGUCCCUGUCUCUUAUAA
This 301-nucleotide ribosomal RNA is filed under the name uncultured bacterium. Its description in RNAcentral is "partial 16S ribosomal RNA". It matches the Rfam family "Bacterial small subunit ribosomal RNA", at positions 509 to 809 of the family's 1533-position model. The record is from RNAcentral.